Molecule: transfer RNA, 80 nt
Filed under: Actinocatenispora thailandica
Lineage: Bacteria; Bacillati; Actinomycetota; Actinomycetes; Micromonosporales; Micromonosporaceae
Description: tRNA-Ala
Source: RNAcentral
CGUCGGCGAUGGCGGACGCCGCCCGCCGGGUCGCGUCCGGCGCGCCGACCGCGUCGUUCGGCGCCGGCGCGGCGGCGGCC